RNAcentral lists this ribosomal RNA (433 nucleotides) under uncultured bacterium. RNAcentral's name for it is "partial 16S ribosomal RNA". It matches the Rfam family "Bacterial small subunit ribosomal RNA", at positions 29 to 507 of the family's 1533-position model. The record is from RNAcentral.
AACGAACGCUGGCGGCAUGCCUAACACAUGCAAGUCGAACGAAACCUUCGGGUCUAGUGGCGCACGGGUGCGUAACGCGUGGGAACCUGCCCUUAGGUUCGGAAUAACUCCCCGAAAGGGGUGCUAAUACCGGAUAAUGUCUUCGGACCAAAGAUUUAUCGCCUUUGGAUGGGCCCGCGUUGGAUUAGCUAGUUGGUAGGGUAAAAGCCUACCAAGGCGACGAUCCAUAGCUGGUCUGAGAGGAUGAUCAGCCACACUGGGACUGAGACACGGCCCAGACUCCUACGGGAGGCAGCAGUGGGGAAUAUUGGACAAUGGGCGAAAGCCUGAUCCAGCAAUGCCGCGUGAGUGAUGAAGGCCUUAGGGUUGUAAAGCUCUUUUACCCGGGAUGAUAAUGACAGUACCCGGAGAAUAAGCUCCGGCUAACUCCGUG